GGGUUGUGAGGUUAAGCGACUAAGCGUACACGGUGGAUGCCCUGGCAGUCAGAGGCGAUGAAGGACGUGCUAAUCUGCGAUAAGCGUCGGUAAGGUGAUAUGAACCGUUAUAACCGGCGAUUUCCGAAUGGGGAAACCCAGUGUGAUCCGUCACACUAUCAUUAACUGAAUCCAUAGGUUAAUGAGGCGAACCGGGGGAACUGAAACAUCUAAGUACCCCGAGGAAAAGAAAUCAACCGAGAUUCCCCCAGUAGCGGCGAGCGAACGGGGAGCAGCCCAGAGCCUGAAUCAGUAUGUGUGUUAGUGGAAGCGUCUGGAAAGGCGUGCGAUACAGGGUGACAGCCCCGUACACAAAAAUGCACAUGCUGUGAGCUCGAUGAGUAGGGCGGGACACGUGGUAUCCUGUCUGAAUAUGGGGGGACCAUCCUCCAAGGCUAAAUACUCCUGACUGACCGAUAGUGAACCAGUACCGUGAGGGAAAGGCGAAAAGAACCCCGGCGAGGGGAGUGAAAAAGAACCUGAAACCGUGUACGUACAAGCAGUGGGAGCCUCUUUAAUGGGGUGACUGCGUACCUUUUGUAUAAUGGGUCAGCGACUUAUAUUCUGUAGCAAGGUUAACCGAAUAGGGGAGCCGAAGGGAAACCGAGUCUUAACUGGGCGUUAAGUUGCAGGGUAUAGACCCGAAACCCGGUGAUCUAGCCAUGGGCAGGUUGAAGGUUGGGUAACACUAACUGGAGGACCGAACCGACUAAUGUUGAAAAAUUAGCGGAUGACUUGUGGCUGGGGGUGAAAGGCCAAUCAAACCGGGAGAUAGCUGGUUCUCCCCGAAAGCUAUUUAGGUAGCGCCUCGUGAAUUCAUCUCCGGGGGUAGAGCACUGUUUCGGCAAGGGGGUCAUCCCGACUUACCAACCCGAUGCAAACUGCGAAUACCGGAGAAUGUUAUCACGGGAGACACACGGCGGGUGCUAACGUCCGUCGUGAAGAGGGAAACAACCCAGACCGCCAGCUAAGGUCCCAAAGUCAUGGUUAAGUGGGAAACGAUGUGGGAAGGCCCAGACAGCCAGGAUGUUGGCUUAGAAGCAGCCAUCAUUUAAAGAAAGCGUAAUAGCUCACUGGUCGAGUCGGCCUGCGCGGAAGAUGUAACGGGGCUAAACCAUGCACCGAAGCUGCGGCAGCGACACUAUGUGUUGUUGGGUAGGGGAGCGUUCUGUAAGCCGUUGAAGGUGUGCUGUGAGGCAUGCUGGAGGUAUCAGAAGUGCGAAUGCUGACAUAAGUAACGAUAAAGCGGGUGAAAAGCCCGCUCGCCGGAAGACCAAGGGUUCCUGUCCAACGUUAAUCGGGGCAGGGUGAGUCGACCCCUAAGGCGAGGCCGAAAGGCGUAGUCGAUGGGAAACAGGUUAAUAUUCCUGUACUUGGUGUUACUGCGAAGGGGGGACGGAGAAGGCUAUGUUGGCCGGGCGACGGUUGUCCCGGUUUAAGCGUGUAGGCUGAUUUUCCAGGCAAAUCCGGAGAAUCAAGGCUGAGGCGUGAUGACGAGGCACUACGGUGCUGAAGCAACAAAUGCCCUGCUUCCAGGAAAAGCCUCUAAGCAUCAGGUAACAUCAAAUCGUACCCCAAACCGACACAGGUGGUCAGGUAGAGAAUACCAAGGCGCUUGAGAGAACUCGGGUGAAGGAACUAGGCAAAAUGGUGCCGUAACUUCGGGAGAAGGCACGCUGAUAUGUAGGUGAAGCGACUUGCUCGUGGAGCUGAAAUCAGUCGAAGAUACCAGCUGGCUGCAACUGUUUAUUAAAAACACAGCACUGUGCAAACACGAAAGUGGACGUAUACGGUGUGACGCCUGCCCGGUGCCGGAAGGUUAAUUGAUGGGGUCAGCCGCAAGGCGAAGCUCUUGAUCGAAGCCCCGGUAAACGGCGGCCGUAACUAUAACGGUCCUAAGGUAGCGAAAUUCCUUGUCGGGUAAGUUCCGACCUGCACGAAUGGCGUAAUGAUGGCCAGGCUGUCUCCACCCGAGACUCAGUGAAAUUGAACUCGCUGUGAAGAUGCAGUGUACCCGCGGCAAGACGGAAAGACCCCGUGAACCUUUACUAUAGCUUGACACUGAACAUUGAGCCUUGAUGUGUAGGAUAGGUGGGAGGCUUUGAAGUGUGGACGCCAGUCUGCAUGGAGCCGACCUUGAAAUACCACCCUUUAAUGUUUGAUGUUCUAACGUGGACCCGUGAUCCGGGUUGCGGACAGUGUCUGGUGGGUAGUUUGACUGGGGCGGUCUCCUCCUAAAGAGUAACGGAGGAGCACGAAGGUUGGCUAAUCCUGGUCGGACAUCAGGAGGUUAGUGCAAUGGCAUAAGCCAGCUUGACUGCGAGCGUGACGGCGCGAGCAGGUGCGAAAGCAGGUCAUAGUGAUCCGGUGGUUCUGAAUGGAAGGGCCAUCGCUCAACGGAUAAAAGGUACUCCGGGGAUAACAGGCUGAUACCGCCCAAGAGUUCAUAUCGACGGCGGUGUUUGGCACCUCGAUGUCGGCUCAUCACAUCCUGGGGCUGAAGUAGGUCCCAAGGGUAUGGCUGUUCGCCAUUUAAAGUGGUACGCGAGCUGGGUUUAGAACGUCGUGAGACAGUUCGGUCCCUAUCUGCCGUGGGCGCUGGAGAACUGAGGGGGGCUGCUCCUAGUACGAGAGGACCGGAGUGGACGCAUCACUGGUGUUCGGGUUGUCAUGCCAAUGGCACUGCCCGGUAGCUAAAUGCGGAAGAGAUAAGUGCUGAAAGCAUCUAAGCACGAAACUUGCCCCGAGAUGAGUUCUCCCUGAGACUUUAAGUCUCCUGAAGGAACGUUGAAGACGACGACGUUGAUAGGCCGGGUGUGUAAGCGCAGCGAUGCGUUGAGCUAACCGGUACUAAUGAACCGUGAGGCUUAACCUUACAACGCCGAAG
Molecule: ribosomal RNA, 2926 nt
Filed under: Escherichia marmotae
Lineage: Bacteria; Pseudomonadati; Pseudomonadota; Gammaproteobacteria; Enterobacterales; Enterobacteriaceae
Description: 23S ribosomal RNA
Rfam family: Bacterial large subunit ribosomal RNA
Source: RNAcentral